AUUCAAUUGGAGAGUUUGAUCCUGGCUCAGAUUGAACGCUGGCGGCACGCCUAACACAUGCAAGUCGAGCGGUAACAUGUCAUGUAGCAAUACAUGAUGAUGACGAGCGGCGGACGGGUGAGGAACACGUAGGAACUUGCCUGGAAGAGGGGGACAACUAAGGGAAACUUUAGCUAAUACCGCGUAAACUCGAGAGAGCAAAGCUGCCGCAAGGUGGCGCUUCCGGAUAGGCCUGCGUCCGAUUAGCUAGUUGGUGAGGUAAAGGCCCACCAAGGCGAUGAUCGGUAACUGGUCUGAGAGGACGACCAGUCACACUGGGACUGAGACACGGCCCAGACUCCUACGGGAGGCAGCAGUGGGGAAU
RNAcentral lists this ribosomal RNA (364 nucleotides) under Gammaproteobacteria bacterium RIFCSPHIGHO2_12_FULL_43_28. RNAcentral's name for it is "bacterial SSU rRNA". It matches the Rfam family "Bacterial small subunit ribosomal RNA", at positions 1 to 362 of the family's 1533-position model. Lineage: Bacteria; Pseudomonadati; Pseudomonadota; Gammaproteobacteria. The record is from RNAcentral.